CCCAGCAGAGGCUCAUGUUCUCCCCAUUACCCUACUCUGUGUCCCCAUCCCAGGUGUGGUGAUGGCAGCAGGUGGGAGGCUGUGCUGUGGUUGCUGAAUCCCAGGGACUCGUGGAUCCCAGCUGCUGUCUGGGAAGGUACCCACGUGCAUUCUGACCUGAGCUGAACACAUCUCCAGGUUCUGCUGUCUCUUUCCCAAGCAGGGAUUGAUUCAGCUCCAGGACUGCUGGUCCUGGAGGGCCAAGGGAAGGUCCUGAGGUAGGAAAACCAGACCUCUCUGAAA
Long non-coding RNA from Poecile atricapillus (Black-capped chickadee), 282 nucleotides. RefSeq lists it as uncharacterized. NCBI's taxonomy places the organism in Eukaryota, Metazoa, Chordata, Aves, Passeriformes, Paridae. The record is from RefSeq and is a predicted model, not a curated record. The transcript has 3 exons.